UUGCGCUAUCAGAUGAGCCUAGGUCGGAUUAGCUAGUUGGUGAGGUAAUGGCUCACCAAGGCGACGAUCCGUAACUGGUCUGAGAGGAUGAUCAGUCACACUGGAACUGAGACACGGUCCAGACUCCUACGGGAGGCAGCAGUGGGGAAUAUUGGACAAUGGGCGAAAGCCUGAUCCAGCCAUGCCGCGUGUGUGAAGAAGGUCUUCGGAUUGUAAAGCACUUUAAGUUGGGAGGAAGGGCAUUAACCUAAUACGUUAGUGUUUUGACGUUACCGACAGAAUAAGCACCGGCUAACUCUGUGCCAGCAGCCGCGGUAAUACAGAGGGUGCAAGCGUUAAUCGGAAUUACUGGGCGUAAAGCGCGCGUAGGUGGUUUGUUAAGUUGGAUGUGAAAUCCCCGGGCUCAACCUGGGAACUGCAUUCAAAACUGACUGACUAGAGUAUGGUAGAGGGUGGUGGAAUUUCCUGUGUAGCGGUGAAAUGCGUAGAUAUAGGAAGGAACACCAGUGGCGAAGGCGACCACCUGGACUAAUACUGACACUGAGGUGCGAAAGCGUGGGGAGCAAACAGGAUUAGAUACCCU
This 583-nucleotide ribosomal RNA is filed under the name Pseudomonas sp. K7. Its description in RNAcentral is "bacterial SSU rRNA". It matches the Rfam family "Bacterial small subunit ribosomal RNA", at positions 213 to 788 of the family's 1533-position model. The record is from RNAcentral. Lineage: Bacteria; Pseudomonadati; Pseudomonadota; Gammaproteobacteria; Pseudomonadales; Pseudomonadaceae.